Molecule: ribosomal RNA, 915 nt
Filed under: uncultured bacterium
Lineage: Bacteria
Description: bacterial SSU rRNA
Rfam family: Bacterial small subunit ribosomal RNA
Source: RNAcentral
AGAGUUUGAUUAUGGCUCAGAUUGAACGCUGGCGGUAUGCUUAACACAUGCAAGUCGAACGGUAACAUUGGAGCUUGCUCCAGAUGACGAGUGGCGGACGGGUGAGUAACGCGUAGAAAUCUGCCUAGUAGUGGGGGACAACUUGUGGAAACGCAAGCUAAUACCGCAUACGCCCUACGGGGGAAAGCGGGGGAUCUUCGGACCUCGCGCUAUUAGAUGAGUCUGCGUUAGAUUAGCUAGUUGGUGGGGUAAAGGCCUACCAAGGCGACGAUCUAUAGCUGGUCUGAGAGGACGAUCAGCCACACUGGGACUGAGACACGGCCCAGACUCCUACGGGAGGCAGCAGUGGGGAAUAUUGGACAAUGGGCGAAAGCCUGAUCCAGCAAUACCGCGUGUGUGAAGAAGGCCUGAGGGUUGUAAAGCACUUUCAAUUGGGAGGAAAAAGUAACGGCCAAUACCCGUUGCCUUGACAUUACCUUUAGAAGAAGCACCGGCUAACUCCGUGCCAGCAGCCGCGGUAAUACGGAGGGUGCAAGCGUUAAUCGGAAUUACUGGGCGUAAAGCGUACGUAGGCGGUUAUUUAAGUCAGAUGUGAAAGCCCCGGGCUCAACCUGGGAACUGCAUUUGAGACUGGGUGACUAGAGUUUAAUAGAGGAGAGUGGAAUUUCAGGUGUAGCGGUGAAAUGCGUAGAGAUCUGAAGGAACACCAGUGGCGAAGGCGGCUCUCUGGAUUAAAACUGACGCUGAGGUACGAAAGCGUGGGUAGCAAACAGGAUUAGAUACCCUGGUAGUCCACGCCGUAAACGAUGUCAACUAGCCGUUGGGUCUAUAUACAGACUUAGUGGUGCAGCUAACGCAUUAAGUUGACCGCCUGGGGAGUACGGCCGCAAGGUUAAAACUCAAAUGAAUUGACGG